GCCGCGUGAGUGAUGAAGGUUUUCGGAUCGUAAAGCUCUGUUGUUAGGGAAGAACAAGUGCCGUUCAAAUAGGGCGGCACCUUGACGGUACCUAACCAGAAAGCCACGGCUAACUACGUGCCAGCAGCCGCGGUAAUACGUAGGUGGCAAGCGUUGUCCGGAAUUAUUGGGCGUAAAGGGCUCGCAGGCGGUUUCUUAAGUCUGAUGUGAAAGCCCCCGGCUCAACCGGGGAGGGUCAUUGGAAACUGGGGAACUUGAGUGCAGAAGAGGAGAGUGGAAUUCCACGUGUAGCGGUGAAAUGCGUAGAGAUGUGGAGGAACACCAGUGGCGAAGGCGACUCUCUGGUCUGUAACUGACGCUGAGGAGCGAAAGCGUGGGGAGCGAACAGGAUUAGAUACCCUGGUAGUCCACGCCGUAAACGAUGAGUGCUAAGUGUUAGGGGGUUUCCGCCCCUUAGUGCUGCAGCUAACGCAUUAAGCACUCCGCCUGGGGAGUACGGUCGCAAGACUGAAACUCAAAGGAAUUGACGGGGGCCCGCACAAGCGGUGGAGCAUGUGGUUUAAUUCGAAGCAACGCGAAGAACCUUACCAGGUCUUGACAUCCUCUGACAAUCCUAGAGAUAGGACGUCCCCUUCGGGGGCAGAGUGACAGGUGGUGCAUGGUUGUCGUCAGCUCGUGUCGUGAGAUGUUGGGGUUAAGUCCCGCAACGAGCGCAACCCUUGAUCUUAGUUGCCAGCAUUCAGUUGGGCACUCUAAGGUGACUGCCGGUGACAAACCGGGAGGAAGGGUGGGGGAUGACGUCAAAUCAUCAUGCCCCUUAUGACCCUGGGCUACACACGUGCUACAUGGACAGAACAAAGGCAG
RNAcentral lists this ribosomal RNA (864 nucleotides) under Bacillus amyloliquefaciens. RNAcentral's name for it is "bacterial SSU rRNA". It matches the Rfam family "Bacterial small subunit ribosomal RNA", at positions 396 to 1248 of the family's 1533-position model. Lineage: Bacteria; Bacillati; Bacillota; Bacilli; Caryophanales; Bacillaceae. The record is from RNAcentral.